CCCUAAAAAGCAAAAAUAACUGAAUAAAUACAUAAAUUCCCCUUGUGCUGUGAAUCCCAUUGUAAUUAUCUGGACUUUCCUUUUUAUUUUUCAGAUGAUCCUCAAAAAAACUCGGUAAGUAUCUCUGACAACCUCUUUGUUUCCACAGCCUGUAUUAAACAUUCAGGUUUUUGGUUCUUUCGGCAUCCCCUCUCUUCUUCCCUAUAUGCCAUCUUUUGGCUCACAUGUCAUCUCCAUGUCUUCCCUCUCCUCCCUCAAGGUUUCUGUUUAUGGACGUCUCCCAUCCUAAGUUCUCUCCGUUUCUUUUACCCAAGACCUGAUUCCUUCUCGCUGCUUCCCACUUCAUUUCACAGGGCCCUUCCUGUAAACAUGGUCUUACUCUGGCAUCCAGAGUCUUGGCAGGUUCGUUUUGAUUUUGUGAGAAGAAGGGGAGAGACUGAUGGACAUGUGGCUUCUGUUCCACGUUAGCUUCUGGAACACUUCCAUUAACUUAGACUCUCUGUCAUAUAAUAAGGUUCAAGGGGCCAUUCUCAUGCCAUUGAUGCCUCCCCAAAGCUAAUGAAAUAAAACAAGAUUGCAAAUUUGCUGAGUGAUGUUUUCCCAAAGCUUGUCUUUUAAAGAGUGUGUAGACUCAGUUCUAAUCCAUUGAUCCAGGUGGGCUUUGGGCUCUUACUUCCAAUGCUCCCGGUCAUUUCCUGCAGUCUUUUCGCAGGUGCACAGAGAUUUUACACACCAUUUCACGGAUUUCUUUUCUUUUAUGUCAUACCACUUCCUCUGUCAUCUUCUUGCAUGAUAUUGACAUAGUUAUUAAUUUAUCACAUUGAGACAAGCUUUAAGUGUUUGUAGAAGCACUGUGUACACUAGGGAAAAUUAAUUUAUACUCUAGUUCUCCAACUUGCAAUUUUCUAUGACUGUCAUGAGAGGCUAUCGCCCUAGGAUACUCCUCGGUGUUUUUAAUGAAACACUGAUAUAAACUAAGAUAAUACGGCUAUGGAGAGAGUUUUGGCUAGAUGGAUGCUCUUACUAUGGACUUCCUCACAACCUCAUAAGUAUGGGACUCCCGUAUGUGUCCAUAUUUACACUGUAUUCUGGAGAAAGGAGAAAGCCAAGUGAAAGAUAAAUGAUUGCUACUGUUUAUCCCAGAAGAAGUCCUAUUCUUCUUCCUUUCACGCCAUCACUUUCUAUCUUUGUAGCUUUGCCUCAAGCGGUGAGGGGGUGGGGGAGGUAAGACAACACUGCCACCGAUUCACACCAUGUCCUGUGAACAUCUAGGCUUCCAUUUCUAAAAACAUUGGUCCCUUUGAGACAUAGCCUAAGCUCAGAAAGCACUUCCCAAUUCUGUCAGCCGCCCAGCAGAGAGAGCCAAAGGGUUCUUUGGGUGGUGGUGGUGUUUUGUUUGUUUUCUACCACACUGGUAGAGUCGUUAAAAACAUAGCAGUCUUUGCCUCUAAGGAAAUGCUCCAGUUAUGAUUCUGUUUUCAAAUGGAUAGUAUUGAGGAUCAUUUCUUAACUGUCUGUAGCAGGUUUCAUAGGACGAUUGCUGUACAUUUGAUUGGAAAAAUGGAUGCUCUUUCUCCUUGCUUUUUCAUCCAUCUCUCUCCAUCUCUCUCUCUCUCUCUCUGNAGUGCAGAACCAGUGAUGGAUCCCGCUCAUCCCAGGGGAAGUCCUUUCCUGCCUCCUCCCAUGCUGUCACUUCCAGUCUUGGAUCCUCUGACUCACCAAGGCAUGAGGGGAGGUAAAACAAGGUUCCUCUGAUUUCUGAAAAGCCUUCAAACCUUUAAGAAAGUUGGGUCAAGUUGAACCACAGAGAAAAGCCUGGAUGUUUUGCAAAUUUUUUGUCCUUGUCUCAUCCUCCCUUAGGUCCUCAUUUUCAAUGGUUUUUGAGUGUUUUCCCUUUUUGGUUAGCAGUAAUGAUGAGGAGAAAAGCCUCCAGCCUCAGUAAUGCCCUACCCUGUCUACCUUGUCAUCGUUUCAUGUUUUCUAUUCUUACCCAUGUGCAUAAAGUAUCCCCAGAAAUAAACAUGUUACUUCGGUUUGCCUGCGGUUCGAAAAAAAGCCCAGCCUACAGAAUUGUGUCACUUUGUGUAUUUUAAUUUCUGAAAUGUCAGUUCUCUCAGAAGUAGGCUGUUGAAAAUUUAGAGCAAUCUUCACAGAAAGCUUUCAUUUACUGGGUCCUGAACCACGAAAUCUAGAUGCAGUGCCCACUGUGUUGUAUUUGACAUUGUCCCAGUUGUUACUGGAAUGGUUCCGAUUCCCACCCUGGUUACAGGGACGAGUUUUUCCUUUGAUUGCUCACACUCUGUUGACUGCCGAUGCCCUGCAUGAGUUAUCUGAAGACAGGCCAGUUCACGUCUGCCCAUCACACUCUCAAGGGACCCAGUGUAUAGAAAUAUUGUUGCCCGACAUGUCCUGGUUAUUUUCAAUUUACAACCACAGUUCUUACUCUUCGUUCAUUUUUAUGUUACCUAUUUCUUUAUUACCUCACCAAGUUGACCGCCCUCUGGCAUCCUUGGGUGCACUUUUUCCCCACAGGAAAUCACACUGAUCAUACAUAGCUAAAGUCCAAAGUUGUGUUCUGAGAUGAUGCCACACCUCUCUGUAAUACCCGAACACAGGAAAUAUUUUCAAUCUUCAUAAGCCUGUAUGUGACAAAGUAUUCUGGAAAGGGUGGUGGUGCUUUCAAUGGAACGGCAUUUCGGGAGCUGCCCCUUUAACUCAGGAGUGGAUGGGACUUGAAAAUGCUCCAGAAGCACUCAUUCGGAGAUGUAGCGCUCUGGUGACGCCUUCUUCAUAAAUCUCGGAAAACCUGUCUCAUACAUGCACGUUCAGAUAUUUUCUCUCAGAUGGGAGGAUGCACAGUAAGCAUGGGGUGAGAAAGAGUUUCUCUCAGGGAAACGUUCUCUCUCCUGGAUUCAGCACCCAUGUGCUUUGAUUCAGAAAAGCUGCACUUCUGCAUGAGGUAAAACACACACUCAAAUUCAGGAAGGUCGCCAUUUAAUCCGUAGCAACAAGGUUGCCCAUUUAAUCAGUAGCUGUCUCGUUGUGAAAAGAGGCACCCGGAAACCUGACCGUGGAUCCCCUACCCCAACAGGGUCUCGGUUUAACCUCACACAGGGUUUGUGGCAACUUGACACAAGGUAGCACCCCCGACCACCAGCAUGAGAACUGACUUCCACAUGCACAGCCAGCCCAUGGCCAUGCUAAAGCGCACAAGCAGAACAACAGGACCCUAAAUAUGGUCAAAGGGAUCCAGACUGCUUUUGCGAACUAAACCCCAGAACGAAUCCUUCUCGUUUUCGUCAGCUCAUCGAAAUGAACCCCAUUUCCCCUCUGUUCCUUUACUGGAGACAAUCUCUGAACACUGCAGUCCUCUGAGCCGAUGUGUGUGCGGGUGGCUGUGGGGGUGGCUGUGGUUGUCCCUUGAAACCGCAGAGGGUUCAUUUUAAAUAGGAAUUUUCAAUAAGUCUGAAUUCUCCCUCUAGUUCUCCCCCAUGAUGUAUACAUUUACCUUUAUUUGCUUUUCUUGCAGCCAGUCUUCGGAAAACAAAUGGUAACUUUUCUGGUAUCCCAUCAUCCCAGUGCUCUUGAGCCCCUCUGAAGCGACUGGUUCAGCCUUUCCUCUUGUCUGCCUUUUCAUCUGUUUCGCUUGUGUCGGCAUGUCUUUCUCUUGCACGUCCUGUCUACGAGCUCCACCUCAAUGUUUUGCGUGGGACUUGUCCCACGUUACUUCUGUCCAUUUCUGUUUGCCUACCUCCUCUGCUCUGCCAUUCCUGCUCUUUGCAAUGCAUGCCAUGCCCUCCCGAUAAGGACUGGCUUUUCUUCGGUCUUUCAGGCACUUGCCACAGUUUCAGGAAGUUGGUGAGAUGCAAAGCAUUACGCUGAGAGGGAGAGGGUUUCUCUUCCACGUGUGUUUCUCAAAAACAUCCAAACACAGGGGCUCUGUCGGGACUUCCAAGUCAGAGGGGCCACUCCUCCACAAGCGAUAGCUCUUCAAAGACUUGAGUGAUGGGAGAUGGCCCCCAAACGGCUCAGUGAACGCCCUCUGCCCAUUGCCCUUUCAAAGCCUAAGUAGCAUAUGCUAUCAUCCAUCGGUCAAGAGUGUGCCAGGGCGCCCCUCUUCCACUGGCCUUACCCCUGGGAACCAAGUGUUCCCAGGUAUAAACAUGUUUCUUCAGUUUGCCUGCUGUCCUAAGCUAAAGCCAUGCCUACCGCUUGUGUCAUUUUGUGUGUCUCAGAGUUCUGAAAGGUCAGUUCUCCCUGACAUAGGCUGUUGGAAAGUUAGAGCAAUCUUCAGUUCCACGUAACACCUCUAUUCGGUCCUUUUGGGUUACUCACUUUUAGAAUGAUUAGCUUUCCUCCCCAGAGGUUGGGUGAGAUGGUAUUACUAGCCUUUUUGGUUUUGUAAGGGCCACACCCACCGGCACAGGGACGUUCCCAGGCUAGGGGCUGAGUGGGAGCUGUACCCACCGGCCUACACCACAGAAGCAGCAAGGCCGGGUACUGGCCACCCCUGCGAACCACACACCACAGCCCAUGGCCAUGCCAGACCCUUUAACCUCCUGAGCGAGGGCCGGGAUGGAACCUGUGUCCUCCUGGAUACUCGCCCGAUUCACUUCCACUGAGCCAUGACGGGAACUCCCAGGAAAGCCUCGAGUCACACCAAAGAAAAGAGAGAGAACAAGAGCAUGGCUUUCUGGCACCUUGCUCAUUCAGUCGUGCCAUUCGUUUCCCUCCACCAACGCAUUUUCGAAAACUACAUUUCCCCGAAAUGCACGAGUCUGUCUCAACAUUGAUUUGAUUCCAUUUCUGUGCACUUCGAGUAUAAAAACGAUCUGUCGCUGAGAACGUCCUUACGACCAUGUCAGUUGACAAGAAUGGAAAGCGUAGGAUUAGAGCCUUGUCGCCCAGGUCGUUGCCUUUCUGCAGGAGAUGACACCUUCAGAGGUAAUUUUGAAAGCCCUCUUGACAACUACAUUAAGUUUAGCAUCGCUUUGUGCCAUGCAAAGCAUUAGACACCAUCACACUUGCAAAAGCCAGUACCGAGACAUACGUCAUCCACUUGCUCAGGCACUGUGGCACUGUGGUGUCUUCGGAAAAGACUGUUUUGGGAGUGACACGUGUGUUUCACAUGAACUACGAAAGCAGUGCUUUCACUGGAAGACAACUUGUCUACUCUGGCAUCAUCAGAAGCGUUUGCCAAACUGAGAGAUGUAACCUCGAUCCACAACCAAGAGAGCAAUUUCUAUAAUUUUUUUUGUUUUUUUUUGGUGUUUGUUUUUUUAUGUCCGCACCCGUGGCAUGCGGAAGUUCCAAGGCCAGUCUCUGAAUCUGAGCCGCAGCUGCAACCAAGACUACUGCUGGGGCAAGGCCACAUCCUUGAGCUCACUGUGUCCAGCCAGAGCACGAGCCUGCACCUCCACUGCAACAUGAGCCACUGAAGUGAGGUUCCUAACCCACCGUACCACAGUGGGAAGUCCUGAAAUAACAUGACUUCAUUUUAUUAGAUAUGUCUUCUGAGUCAGAAACUCCAUGCAUUCAAGAUAGAAGAAGCACAGAGGGCCCCAAACAAACUGAACCAAAACAGACCCACAGCAAGACACAGCAUAAUAAAAACGGCAAAAGUUAGNAAGGCAGCAAGAGAAAAACAGAAUGUUACCUACAAGGGAACCCCCAUAAGAAUAUCAGCUGAUUUCUCUACAGAAACACUACAGGCCAGGAGGGAAUGGCAAGAGAUAUUUAAAGAGCUAAAAGGAAAAAAUAUGCAACCUAGAAUACUCUAUCCAGCAAGAAUAUCAUUUAAAAUAGAAGGGGAAAUAAAAAUUUUUCCCUACAAACAAAAUCUUAAAGAACACAGCAACACAAAACCCAGGUUAAAGGAAAUAUUGAAAGGGCUUCUCUAAACCAAAAAGAAAGGAAG
RNAcentral lists this long non-coding RNA (5917 nucleotides) under Sus scrofa (pig). RNAcentral describes it as "lncRNA (ENSSSCG00060004408.1)". Lineage: Eukaryota; Metazoa; Chordata; Mammalia; Artiodactyla; Suidae. The record is from RNAcentral.